This 462-nucleotide ribosomal RNA is filed under the name uncultured Pelotomaculum sp. Its description in RNAcentral is "bacterial SSU rRNA". It matches the Rfam family "Bacterial small subunit ribosomal RNA", at positions 920 to 1382 of the family's 1533-position model. Lineage: Bacteria; Bacillati; Bacillota; Clostridia; Eubacteriales; Desulfotomaculaceae. The record is from RNAcentral.
CCCGCACAAGCGGUGGAGCAUGUGGUUAAUUCGACGCAACGCGAAGAACCUUACCAGGGCUUGACAUCCCCUGACCGCGUAUGAAAGUACGUUUUCACCCUCGGGUGACAGGGAGACAGGUGGUGCAUGGUUGUCGUCAGCUCGUGUCGUGAGAUGUUGGGUUAAGUCCCGCAACGAGCGCAACCCCUACGUUAGUUGCUAACGCGUGAAGGCGAGCACUCUAGACGAACUGCCGUUGACAAAACGGAGGAAGGUGGGAUGACGUCAAAUCAUCAUGCCCCUUAUGUUCUGGGCUACACACGUGCUACAAUGGCCGGUACAGACGGAGGCGAAGCCGCGAGGCGGAGCAAAUCCGAAAAAGCCGGUCUCAGUUCGGAUUGCAGGCUGCAAUUCGCCUGCAUGAAGUCGGAAUCGCUAGUAAUCGCAGGUCAGCAUACUGCGGUGAAUACGUUCCCGGGCCUU